Molecule: ribosomal RNA, 507 nt
Filed under: uncultured bacterium
Lineage: Bacteria
Description: partial 16S ribosomal RNA
Source: RNAcentral
GGAGUUAGCCGGUGCUUCUUCUGUGAGUGAUGUCCUUCCUGCCGGUUAUUGACCCGCAGGCCUUCUUCCUCACUGAAAGUGCUUUACAACCCGAAGGCCUUCUUCACACACGCGGCAUGGCUGGAUCAGGGUUGCCCCCAUUGUCCAAUAUUCCCCACUGCUGCCUCCCGUAGGAGUCUGGGCCGUGUCUCAGUCCCAGUGUGGCUGAUCAUCCUCUCAGACCAGCUACGGAUCGUCGCCUUGGUGAGCCGUUACCUCACCAACCAGCUAAUCCGACAUAGGCUCAUCCGAUAGCGCGAGGCCCGAAGGUCCCCCGCUUUCCCCCGUAGGGCGUAUGCGGUAUUAGCCUGGGUUUCCCCAGGGUUAUCCCCCACUACCGGGCAGAUUCCUAUGCAUUACUCACCCGUCCGCCGCUCGCCACCAGGGAGCAAGCUCCCCGUGCUGCCGCUCGACUUGCAUGUGUUAGGCCUGCCGCCAGCGUUCAAUCUGAGCCAGAUCAAACUCUGA